This 437-nucleotide ribosomal RNA is filed under the name uncultured Acidobacteriota bacterium. Its description in RNAcentral is "bacterial SSU rRNA". It matches the Rfam family "Bacterial small subunit ribosomal RNA", at positions 958 to 1393 of the family's 1533-position model. The record is from RNAcentral. Lineage: Bacteria; Pseudomonadati; Acidobacteriota.
AACGCGAAGAACCUUACCUGGGCUCGAACGGCUUUGGAACAUCCUUGGAAACAGGGACUUCCCGCAAGGGACCGGAGUCGAGGUGCUGCAUGGCUGUCGUCAGCUCGUGUCGUGAGAUGUUGGGUUAAGUCCCGCAACGAGCGCAACCCUUGUCCUGUGUUGCCACUCCCGUAAGGGAAGCACUCUCAGGAGACCGCCAGCGAUAAGCUGGAGGAAGGUGGGGAUGAUGUCAAGUCAUCAUGGCCUUUAUGUCCAGGGCUACACACGUGCUACAAUGGGCGGUACAAAGCGCUGCUAACCCGCGAGGGGGAGCCAAUCGCAAAAAACCGUUCUCAGUUCGGAUCGCAGGCUGCAACCCGCCUGCGUGAAGCUGGAAUCGCUAGUAAUGGCGUAUCAGAACGACGCCGUGAAUACGUUCCCGGGUCUUGUACACACGC